Molecule: long non-coding RNA, 626 nt
Filed under: Salmo salar (Atlantic salmon)
Lineage: Eukaryota; Metazoa; Chordata; Actinopteri; Salmoniformes; Salmonidae
Description: lncRNA (ENSSSAG00000114548.1)
Source: RNAcentral
CGUAAUCUUGUGUUUUCUUUGCUCCUGCAUAGCUACUUUGCGCUUCACAAUAAACUAGCACUCCUGGAAUUGAAUGUGUUUAAAACAGCCUUCUAGUAUUUUCCAUCAGUUGGUAGUACAAUACAAAAUGUCUGAUUCAUUAUGAGUCAGUCUCUUCCAGUCAGACACCUAGAGGGGAAACAUCCUUGUCAGGUGUUGGCUAUAACAGGGGCUAUAACAGGGGUGAUACAGUUUCUGGUCAGGUGUUGGGCUAUAACAGGGGCUAUAACACGGGUGAUACAGUUUCUGGUCAGGUGUUGGGCUAUAACGGGGGUUUUACAGUUUCUGGUCAGGUGCUGGGCUAUAACAGGGGCUAUAACAGGGGUGAGACAGUUUAUCUGGUCAGGUGUUGGGCUAUAACAGGGGUGAUACAGUUUAUCUGGUCAGGUGUUGGGCUAUAACAGGGGCUAUAACAGGGGUGAUACAGUAUAUCUGGUCAGGUGUUGGGCUAUAACAGGGGUGAUACAGUUUAUCUGGUCAGGUGCUGGGCUAUAACAGGGGCUAUAACAGGGGCUAUAACAGGGGUGAUAUAGUAUAUCUGGUCAGGUGUUGGCUAUAACAGGGGUGAUACAGUUUAUCUGGUCAGG